This is a non-coding RNA of Nylanderia fulva, 463 nucleotides long. The record is from RefSeq and is a predicted model, not a curated record. NCBI's taxonomy places the organism in Eukaryota, Metazoa, Arthropoda, Insecta, Hymenoptera, Formicidae.
AUCUCUUACAGUAUAUUAUUAUUAGUAUAUUCGCGUAUAUUUUCAAGAUAUACUUUUGAAUUACGCAGAAUAUUCGUUACAGGAUGUCGUAUGGAGCCAUUUAAGUGCAGAGCGUUUUGGCGCGUAAACGUACACGCCACGCGGUUUGUGAUAGUGUUUUUUCUAUGAUAGUGGGUUACCGGUCUUUUUCCUGUGAUAUCUUGUCGCAUGACGGUGUGAAACAUUGCAAGAAAAUAUUAUCGCAGCUUUAUAUUCAUAUACACAACAGUAGUGUGUUCUCUACAGUAGUGCGACAAAGAAAUAGCAUUGUCACAAAAGAAAUAUUGAGACUAAUAUAUUGGGGAUCGCUUUAUUUAUCUGCAUUAUUUUAAAAAAGUCUGCAUCAUUCUAGAAAAGUUUGUUCUCUACGCAUAGCUCGUGGAACACACAGUAAGAAGUAAGUAUAAUCAUAUUUCUUUCUUUU